Molecule: transfer RNA, 71 nt
Filed under: Camelus ferus (Wild Bactrian camel)
Lineage: Eukaryota; Metazoa; Chordata; Mammalia; Artiodactyla; Camelidae
Rfam family: tRNA
About the family: Transfer RNA (tRNA) molecules are approximately 80 nucleotides in length.
Source: Rfam by way of RNAcentral
GAGGGUAUAGCUCAGUGGUGGAGUGUGUGCUUAGCAUGCACAAGGUUGUGGGUUCAAUUCUCAGCCCCUCC